This 735-nucleotide ribosomal RNA is filed under the name Rothia sp. HMSC08A08. RNAcentral's name for it is "bacterial LSU rRNA". It matches the Rfam family "Bacterial large subunit ribosomal RNA", at positions 524 to 1250 of the family's 2925-position model. Lineage: Bacteria; Bacillati; Actinomycetota; Actinomycetes; Micrococcales; Micrococcaceae. The record is from RNAcentral.
CCCCGGGAGGGGAGUGAAAUAGUACCUGAAACCGUGUGCUUACAAGCCGUUAUAGCCCCCCUUUUUGUGUGGGGUGGUGGCGUGCCUUUUGAAGAAUGAGCCUGCGAGUUAGUGUUUUGUCGCGAGGUUAACCCGUGUGGGGUAGUCGUAGCGAAAGCGAGUCUGAACAGGGCGUUGUAGUGGCAGGAUCUAGACCCGAAGCGGAGUGAUCUAUCCAUGGCCAGGUUGAAGCACGUGUAAGAGCGUGUGGAGGACCGAACCCACCUAGGUUGAAAACUGGGGGGAUGAGCUGUGGAUAGGGGUGAAAGGCCAAUCAAACUCUGUGAUAGCUGGUUCUCCCCGAAAUGCAUUUAGGUGCAGCGUUACAUGUUUCUUGCUGGAGGUAGAGCUACUGGAUGGCCGAUGGGCCCGCGAGGGUUACUGACGUUAGCUAAACUCCGAAUGCCGGUAAGUGAGAGUGUAGCAGUGAGACAGUGGGGGAUAAGCUUCAUUGUCGAGAGGGAAACAGCCCAGACCAUCAACUAAGGCCCCUAAGCGUGUGCUAAGUGGGAAAGGAUGUGGAGUUGCUGAGACAACCAGGAGGUUGGCUUAGAAGCAGCCAUCCUUGAAAGAGUGCGUAAUAGCUCACUGGUCAAGUGAUUCUGCGCCGAUAAUGUAGCGGGGCUCAAGUACACCGCCGAAGUUGUGGCAAUCAGUCUUUGUGGCUGGUUGGGUAGGGGAGCGUCCUGCACGAGG